CACAUCUAAACAAGCCAAAACUGAAGCACAACUAAAAUUAAGCACAAAUAAAAAAUAGCACACAUGCAAACAUUUAAGACAUAAUAGCAUGUAAGAGCAACUUCUAAAAUAUGCUUGUCUACAUUGUAUGCAAAUUUUCAUAAAACAAAAUCACUGUGGGAUAAAAAAAAAAAAAAAUAAUAAAAAUGCCCUAAUGCGACGGCCC
RNAcentral lists this long non-coding RNA (205 nucleotides) under Mytilus galloprovincialis (Mediterranean mussel). Lineage: Eukaryota; Metazoa; Mollusca; Bivalvia; Mytilida; Mytilidae. The record is from RNAcentral.